GAUGAAGAACGUAGCGAAAUGCGAUAAGUAAUGCGAAUUGCAGAAUUCCGUGAGUCAUCGAAUCUUUGAACGCACAUUGCGCCCUUUGGCAUUCCGAAGGGCAUGCCUGUUCGAGCGUCAUUUAUCAACCCUCAAGCCCGGCUUGCGGUUGGGUCCCGCCGUGGGCGACCACGGCGGACCCGAAAGGUAAUGGCGGUGCCCGUGGGGCCCUGGACGCAGCGAGCUUCUCGGCACGCGUCCCGGCGGUCCCCGGCGCCGUCUCCACCAAUCCACCACGCAGAUUGACCUCGGAUCAGGUAGGGAUACCCGCUGAACUUAAGCAUAUCAUAAGCGGAGGA
This 338-nucleotide unclassified non-coding RNA is filed under the name soil metagenome. RNAcentral describes it as "partial contains 5.8S ribosomal RNA, internal transcribed spacer 2, and large subunit ribosomal RNA". The stretch from base 1 to 120 matches the Rfam family "5.8S ribosomal RNA", at positions 35 to 154 of the family's 154-position model. The record is from RNAcentral.